CUUCUGUGGUGGUUUUACACCUGCAAAGCCCCCAGAUUCAGUUUUUCUCCAGGGUGAGUGUGUGGACUGUCAUUUCUUGCCUUUUUUGCCUCAGGACCCCAUCAGUAAAAUGGAUGUCACUGUAUCCCAUUUCAAAAUGCUCUGCACUAGCUGUUGUAGGAGUUGUUGGUAGCUGCCAAGAGUUGUUCCAGGCAGCUCUUAUAUCAGAUUAAUUUUAUUUUCAGAUGAUAAAAGGAAACAUCUUUUUAUUUCUCAGGAUACACUUUAAUUUCUUGUUGUUUUAUUCCACCCCCUGCCAUGCCCCAUAUUUGAGCUGUCCCAGUGAACAAUAUCAUCAGAGGAUUUAAAUACUUGUACAAGGCAAUGUGAACAGCAGAAGGAAAGUGAGAUGACUUUACUAUUGCUGGGAAAAAGCAGGGUCCCGCUGAAGAUAAUGGGUCCCUUUGUUUGCAAGACAGAGAGAGAGCAAGACCCCAAGGAGAAAACAAAGAUCAGCCUAUUUCUUUAAUGCAUUUUCUUGAUGCAUUUCCAAGUUGCACGAGAAAGCAAGGAAGCUUGAGAAAAAUGAGGAAGCCUGAGAAAAAUGUUAUUUAAAUGCAUCUAGGAAUUUUUGUUUGUCAAAACUCUGUUCACUCUGUGAAUUUGACAACCAUUUCAGUAAAGUUUUUGUAAAACUGGAA
This is a long non-coding RNA of Pipra filicauda (Wire-tailed manakin), 680 nucleotides long. RefSeq lists it as uncharacterized. The record is from RefSeq and is a predicted model, not a curated record. NCBI's taxonomy places the organism in Eukaryota, Metazoa, Chordata, Aves, Passeriformes, Pipridae. The transcript has 3 exons.